AAUCUAUUAAUAAGUCAUCUGUAUUGACUUUAGAUCUAUGUGUAGAUAGCGAAACGAUCACAGUAUUGUACGCGUGAGUAGUUAAUAAUAUGCACCGAGAUUAAGUGUGCAAGCCGUAGAGGCAUUGCAAAUGACACUGAUUGGUUACAGAUCCUCGCGAUCUCUGCCGCAGCGGGAGGGAGGGGGAGGCAUUGUGAUAGUCGAAAAUGGUCGGAGGACCAGAAGGGAUGGGAAGAUUGCCGAAGGACGCUCCUUUCAGUCGAGAAACAAACGGUAGUGGGGAACUUGGAUACACGUGUGACUUCCUUCCCCUUCUUUCUUUGACCUGCUCUAUCUGUUUCUCUCCUUAUAAUCGCAGCACAUCGAUAUUUCUCUCUCACUUUCAAACAUGUCUCUUUAUACGCACUAUUAAAUCAUUACCGCGACCCUUGUUUCCCACCUUCCUGGAAGAUACCGGGAGGCGUUUAAGUGGUUUUAAUAUUCUGUACCUACUACAACAAAAUUGAAGAAUUUUGAGUAAUAUCGUUAAUAAUUCCAGAUCUACUAUAUUUAAAUCAUGUAUGUACAUCGCACAAAAUGUUCUUUCUUUACAUAUGUGUCACUUAUAAUGUAUUAAAUAUGAAUGCAUUUAACAUGUAACAUUUAAAAAUAUUAUUUCUAAUAUGACACGGAGCACCAUAAAAUGAAAGUGAAAGCAUAAAAAGACAUAUUAGACGGUCGAAUCAGGUGUGGCUGAAAAAUUGUCGUCAUCUGUAAAAUGAAAGAAAAAGAAAGAUGGAUAAAAUGGAAGAGAGGUGAAGAAGAGCAAGAGAGAACUGUUAUUUUAAUUUCUACUAUUCUUUUCAUGACGUACGAGAUUUUUCUCAUGACCUAUUGGUAGCGUCAGUCACGGAAAAAUAUGCCGUGACGCCGUUUGACUACAUUAGACACGCGCCAAAUACUUCAAAACGAACACGUGCGGUUUUAAAUUCUAUUACAGCUGGACUACCUGGUACGGUUAGCUGAAUAUUAACGGUCAUCAUUUUCGAAAUAACCGGAAAACGUACCGACAGCUGAUUUCUCAAUGUGGAAGGAAUGACAUCGCUUCGAUGAUAUGCGGUUCCACAAACCGAUGCUUUUCAUAUGUCGUUAAAAUUACCGAGGAUCUCUUUGAUAAGAUCGACAUGGCGUUCGUAAUCGACGUGUCGUUAGAGAAACUUUAAUUCUUCGGUUAUUCUGACAUUUAGCAUUCAAUUUGGAAAACUUUCUACAAGAUUUGUGAGAAAUUGUGGGAUCAAAAGGAAUAAUUAUUGCAAAGAUAUUGGAACCAUACAAGUUCUUGUCCAGAAUAUUAUUGUAUCUAUUCAGUAUUAAGUUAUAGCUUCAAUAUUAAUUAUAUUCUUUUCCUCCCUCCCUCUAUGUUUGAGAGUUUUUAUUUCUAUAUUAUUUUAAAUAUUUCCAAAGAUAUUAGACAAAUAUAUAGAUGAAUAUCUUUGAGAAAUUUGAUUGUAUUUUCUACAUAACUUUUGGGUGUUGGUGCCCUGUCUGGAAAAACAUAAUUUUAUGAAAUAUUAUUGAACGCGCAUAACACAGACAUACACUAUGUGCACACUUGCAGACAUUGAAUUUACAAACUAAACAUACAUAUACACUCUCUAUACUACACGAAGUACAGGUCCGACUAUGCAGUUCUUUGUGAUGUACCUUGAGUUAUUCCAAUACUGGCGGCUCACUCUUCAUUUCAAGUGCGAUAAAAUGACAAAGAAAAUCGUACAUCAAGUUCUUUGAGGCCAUUGUAAAAGGUAGACUUUGCUUUGUGGAGGAUUCUUAAAUGAACUUCGAAAAAAAUUUUUUAAAUUCCAUGCAAUCGUUUGCAUAUGUAAAAUUUUCGAAAUCAAUAAUAGUCUGAGAAAACGAAGACAGCGUCACGAAAGAGUAAACUUGAAGCUUUAGUUGUUUAAAAUGAAUCAGGCCAUGUCAUGUGAUUUUUGUUUUACAAAGUUACAUCGAUUUGGAUAUCGAUAAUUUUUCGUCGAGAAUUUAAUGACCCCUUAAUUUUGUACGCCAGUAUAAUAAGAGUAUUUACCAUUAGAAUAUAAUAACUUACAUGAACAAAUAUA
This is a long non-coding RNA of Bombus terrestris (buff-tailed bumblebee), 2099 nucleotides long. RefSeq lists it as uncharacterized. Lineage: Eukaryota; Metazoa; Arthropoda; Insecta; Hymenoptera; Apidae. The record is from RefSeq and is a predicted model, not a curated record. The transcript is spliced from 3 exons.